Molecule: long non-coding RNA, 3141 nt
Organism: Sarcophilus harrisii (Tasmanian devil)
Lineage: Eukaryota; Metazoa; Chordata; Mammalia; Dasyuromorphia; Dasyuridae
Source: Ensembl
UUGGAGCCUGGCCUCUUGUCCCGAGGCCGGCCAUCCCCAGGAGAGGGUCCUCGCCCGCUGUCGGGCCAGGCACACGGAAAGAGAAGAGCAUUUCCCGGGCUUAGAGAAGCGAGCCGGUGCCGAGAAAACGGGGACGCAGGCAGCGCGCUGACUUCCAGUCCCCCGGACGGCGUCACUGCGGCGCUUGGAGAGCAAGUGGUAAAGGGCACGUCUCUCCGCUUAACUUCCCGCCGAGGGCCCGGGCUGCUAAAUGAGGGAUGUAAAAAGUGAGCCAGGUCCCUGCCCCAAUAGCUGUGCAGUCUCCCCGGUAGGAAGCAAGGCUUUCAUCUGUUUAACAUUCAAGACAUUUACAGGAAGUAAAUGUGUGAGAGCCACUGGGCUAGGUUGGGACGGGACCCUGCUCUCCGCCCGAUUAGGGAGACAAGGGAUGCAUGAAACACUUCUGAGAGCCGGGGCUCAGAAGUUACAAAGUAGGAAACGGCCCCUUGGACGCAGAAGUCGGGAGAGGAGAGGAAACCACCACAAAGAGCCAUGAUGCAAUGCUGGAUGCCGCGAGAGAGAGAGAGAGAGAGACCACUUUCUGAAAGAAUUCGGGAAAAGAGCUCGCUGCUUUUGUAAAGGAGAGGCCAUUUGGCUGGGACUCGAAAGAUGGGAAGCAUUUGAAUGGGGGGAAAGGGGAGAAAGGCAUAUGCAUAGGGAAAGAACUGCUAGCAUGGUUCUCUGAGAAGGAAAAGGAGCCAAUCCAGUGGAGAAGUGGAGAGGAAAGAAAACAUGAUUGAAACAAAAAGAUUUUUUUUAAAAUAUGUGAACAAGUGCCAAAGGAGUGAAAUAAACUCUUACAUGCUAUAGGAAUUCAGGGGAGGGGUCAAUCAUGGGGAGCUAUUAUAAUCCAAGAAAGCUUUAUGAAGAAAGGCUUCAUGACCUGGACUUGAAGACUGGGCCUGCUUUAAAUGGACAUCAAAGCUUUUUUUUUGUUUUGGGGUGGGUUUUAAAUUGCUUUUUGUUUUCAUAACACAUGCGGGGAUAAUUUUUCACCAUUGACCUUCGCGAAACUUUGUGUUCCAAUCUUCCCCCUUACUCCCCCCCCCAAUCCCUUCCCCUACAUAGGCAUCAAGUAUUUCUGGAAAUAGGCCCCCCAGGCUUCCUUGCAAGUUGGCCCCAAAUCGAACAGAUUGUGCAUGCUGGAAGGACUAGCUGGGCCUCUGCUGCCUAUCCCCUUUUAUGUAUGAUAUGGGAAUGUCUAUAGUGGGAGAGUUGGGGGGGGGGGAGGAGUUAUUCCAUUCUGACUCACUUCUAGAAUGAGACCAGCUAACAUCAUCCCCUUCAGAGGUCUAGGGGUUUCCCAAAGGGUUUGAAGAUAGUUCUGUCAUUAACUCAAACUUCCACCAGUUGUGCUGGCAAUACCAUUAGGUAUCGGUGAUCAACAAGCUCCCCAGUUCCAUUUAACCACUUAAUUAGGGAUAUCUCCUUCGAUGGUACUAUGGCAAAGAUACAAAUUCCCCCUUCCCUUGAAGGAUGGGGGAAUAGUCUUUAUCCCGCCUCCAUUGCUACAUAGCAUUCGUCCCCCUAAAUUUACAUCAGAUGAGUCUUCCUCUCAGAUACCCCUAAGCUGAAUCAGGGCAUCAGGGCUGAACUGGCUGCAAAAACCAACAAAGUCAGAGCCUUUAGGAAAACAGAGGUCAAGAGCCAAGACCCAUUUCAAAGGAUCACAAAAGGGCCCAAGACUUCUCCCCUUGCUAUAUGGUUUCUCACUAUUAGCAAAAGAUCCCAAGACUUCUACCAGAGAACAAAUGGCCAACCUCCUGCUUACUGGUCCUCCUAGGAGGCUCCUACUGUUCAUCAAAGAGCCUCCUGUUCACCAAGAGACGGGCAGAUUGAAACCAGUUACAGAGUGUCUCUGGACAGGCUCCGUCCCUCCCAGACAUCUCUCUUACUGGAAGCUCCCUAGCUGCCUCCAGGUGGAGGGGCCAUCCUCAGGUGCUUUCCACAUGUGCUAAUCCUCCUACAAGCAUGUAGGCAUUUAUCUAUGAACAUCACUAAACAAUACGAGAGGGCAUUGCUAAAUGGUUAAUGAAAUAUGUAAUCGGUGCUACGGAAAUUCAGAGGAGAGACAAGUCCAGGUGGGCCUCAGGGUUAGGAGUCAGGAAGACCUUAGAGAGGAAAUAGGCUUGAAGCCAGUCCUGGAAGGAAUAUGCUCAGUGCUCAAAACAGAGCAGUUGGCGUCCAAGACCAGAGCAGAAUCACUUUCUAACAGGAGGAUUUUGUGCAACUUGCAGCUGAGCCUCAGUUGAAGGGGCAGCGAUACUGCCGGGACCCUGAGUUGAGAAUUGAACAAAGGACAGCCACCAUACGCAAGGCUUCAGUUAAAGUCAACCAGGAACAUCAAAGAAGAGGAACAAAAGAUGUCAUUAAAGAAACACAGGCUAGGAGGGGAAAAAAUGGUGUCAUCAAAAGCAAGAUGACAGCUCCUGGUCCCUAACAAAUGAAAGGAACACAGACAAUGGGAGCGGAGAAAAAAGCAUCCUGGUCUCUUCAGAGUAACCUGGAAGCAGGAGGUACAACGCGCAGCUUGGCCCUGGAAGGGUGAAGCUAGAAAGUGCCUUCUACACUGUACAUGGCGAUGUAGAACUGUGGGAAAAGGCCGCAUGCAAUGGCCGGCUUCAAUAUCCUCAUCUGCAAAAUGGGAACAAGAACAGCACCUCCCUCCCUGCAUUACUGCGAAGACCAAAUGAAACAUAUGUCAAACACCUAAAUGUUACAGCAUGUGAGCACUGGCUGCCUUGUGGUUUGGACACCUUUUGACCAAACAAUAUCAGUCCCGGGGCUGCACCCCCAGAGAGAGCAAAGAACGAGCAAGUGGACUCAUAUGUUCAAAAAUACUAUUAGCAGCCCUUUUUGCGGUGGCAAAGAAUUGGAAACUGAGGGAAAGCCUAUCAAUUGUUCUGUAGUGUACUGUGUGAAGUAAGGAAGGGGAUGGUUUCUGAAAAACCCGGCAAGACACAUAUAAACUGAUGCAAAGUGAAGUGAGCAAACCAGGAAGACAACUUGUAUGAUCACCAACAAUUUAGGAACACCUAAUUAUCUAAAGGACUCGAGGUGAUUCCUGCUGUUCCCCUCCUGGAAGAAAAAAAGGACUUACGG